ACACACCGCCCGUCACUCUCCCCAAGUCUUUAAAAACUUACAUUUAUAAUAAGCCACUUAAGCGAAGGGGAGGCAAGUCGUAACAUGGUAAGUGUACCGGAAGGUGUACUUGGACAAACCAAAAUGUGGCUAAAUAGUAAAGCAUCUCUCUUAC
Molecule: ribosomal RNA, 154 nt
Filed under: Betta rubra
Lineage: Eukaryota; Metazoa; Chordata; Actinopteri; Anabantiformes; Osphronemidae
Description: partial 12S ribosomal RNA
Rfam family: Bacterial small subunit ribosomal RNA (bases 1-125)
Source: RNAcentral